CGCGGCCUAUCAGCUUGUUGGUGAGGUAAUGGCUCACCAAGGCGACGACGGGUAGCCGGCCUGAGAGGGUGACCGGCCACACUGGGACUGAGACACGGCCCAGACUCCUACGGGAGGCAGCAGUGGGGAAUAUUGCACAAUGGGCGCAAGCCUGAUGCAGCGACGCCGCGUGAGGGAUGACGGCCUUCGGGUUGUAAACCUCUUUCAGUAGGGAAGAAGCGAAAGUGACGGUACCUGCAGAAGAAGCGCCGGCUAACUACGUGCCAGCAGCCGCGGUAAUACGUAGGGCGCAAGCGUUAUCCGGAUUUAUUGGGCGUAAAGAGCUCGUAGGCGGUUUGUCGCGUCUAUCGUGAAAGUCCGAGGCUCAACCUCGGAUCUGCGGUGGGUACGGGCAGACUAGAGUGAUGUAGGGGAGACUGGAAUUCCUGGUGUAGCGGUGAAAUGCGCAGAUAUCAGGAGGAACACCGAUGGCGAAGGCAGGUCUCUGGGCAUUUACUGACGCUGAGGAGCGAAAGCAUGGGGAGCGAACAGGAUUAGAUACCCUGGUAGUCCAUGCCGUAAACGUUGGGCACUAGGUGUGGGGGACAUUCCACGUUUUCCGCGCCGUAGCUAACGCAUUAAGUGCCCCGCCUGGGGAGUACGG
This 643-nucleotide ribosomal RNA is filed under the name uncultured bacterium. Its description in RNAcentral is "bacterial SSU rRNA". It matches the Rfam family "Bacterial small subunit ribosomal RNA", at positions 232 to 885 of the family's 1533-position model. The record is from RNAcentral. RNAcentral also lists the same sequence under 1 other name.